GUAGGGAAUAUUGGGCAAUGGCCGCGAGGCUGACCCAGCCAUGCCGCGUGCAGGAAGAAGGCCUUCUGGGUUGUAAACUGCUUUUGUACGGGAAGAAAACGCCCCUGCGGGGGUAACUGACGGUACCGUGCGAAUAAGCACCGGCUAACUCCGUGCCAGCAGCCGCGGUAAUACGGAGGGUGCAAGCGUUGUCCGGAUUUAUUGGGUUUAAAGGGUGCGUAGGCGGCCCGUUAAGUCAGCGGUGAAAUCCCGGGGCUCAACCCCGGAACUGCCGUUGAUACUGGCGGGCUUGAGUUCGGUCGAGGCGGGCGGAACUGGCGGUGUAGCGGUGAAAUGCUUAGAUACCGCCAAGAACCCCAAUUGCGCAGGCAGCUCGCUGGGCCGAAACUGACGCUGAGGCACGAAAGCGUGGGGAGCGAACAGGAUUAGAAACCCGGGUAGUCC
This 444-nucleotide ribosomal RNA is filed under the name uncultured bacterium. Its description in RNAcentral is "bacterial SSU rRNA". It matches the Rfam family "Bacterial small subunit ribosomal RNA", at positions 354 to 796 of the family's 1533-position model. The record is from RNAcentral.